CACCUUGAAACUUUGCCGCAGGUCCCCUAUUUUAAAUCUGUCCUUCGGGACUAUGGCGAUAAACGCGCUCGCAAUACACGGAUCGGACCCGGGGGCGGUACCCGGCGACUCCACCAACAAACCCUUCAUUUGGGGGCGCAUGGGGUCGAAAUAGGAUCGACGGACGUCUAAAGGGGUUAGCUUUUGCUCGGUGAGAUACCACCGAUAUCGGUUCAAUAUAGCUAGUUGCAAAUGACAACAAAGCACCGAUGGCUCUGGCUGCGUAAGCAGUUCGAAAUAUCGAAAACUUAAGCCCUACCGCUUUGCGGCCGUAGGCGGGGUUUGCAGGUACCUGGCAACAGAAACCUGCGCU
This 352-nucleotide transfer-messenger RNA is filed under the name Rhodobacteraceae bacterium HTCC2150. RNAcentral describes it as "Alphaproteobacteria transfer-messenger RNA". It matches the Rfam family "Alphaproteobacteria transfer-messenger RNA". Rfam says of the family: Bacterial tmRNA, also known as 10Sa RNA or SsrA, is named for its dual tRNA and mRNA-like properties. Its role is to liberate the mRNA from a stalled ribosome. The record is from Rfam by way of RNAcentral. Lineage: Bacteria; Pseudomonadati; Pseudomonadota; Alphaproteobacteria; Rhodobacterales; Paracoccaceae.